RNAcentral lists this transfer RNA (72 nucleotides) under Sus scrofa (pig). It matches the Rfam family "tRNA". Rfam says of the family: Transfer RNA (tRNA) molecules are approximately 80 nucleotides in length. Their secondary structure includes four short double-helical elements and three loops (D, anti-codon, and T loops). The record is from Rfam by way of RNAcentral. Lineage: Eukaryota; Metazoa; Chordata; Mammalia; Artiodactyla; Suidae.
UCCUGGUGACCUAAUAGUUAAGGACUCAGCAUUGUCAUUGCUGUGACCCAGGUUUGAUCCCUGGCCCAGGAA